Molecule: long non-coding RNA, 263 nt
Filed under: Physcomitrium patens
Lineage: Eukaryota; Viridiplantae; Streptophyta; Bryopsida; Funariales; Funariaceae
Description: long non-coding RNA (PPAT_LNC004351)
Source: RNAcentral
GUUAAUGUCACCCCAUUGCAAGCUGUACCACCAAACAUAACAACAACAUAUGCUCCACCGGCAUCAUCAAACCAAGUAUCUUCCAUACCAACGGGACGAUCAAGAUCAUUUUCUAACCCUACAUAGAACAAGUCUAGUAGCUUUAUACCGAUGGAGACACCCAAUAUGCCUAAUGGGGGUGCAAGAGGGCCACUUUGUUAUUUUUGUUACAGACAGAUUGAUCAUUAUACUAGUGAAUGUCCUAAUCCGAGAGCCAGUGACAA